GUCUAUGGCCAUACCACCUUGACCACGCCUGGUCUCAUCUGAUCCUGGAAGCUAAGCAGGGUCAGGCCUGGUUAGGACUUGGAUGGGAGACACGGGCAUGUCAAAUCCUAUCAGGAACACCAGACACAUGAGUU
This 134-nucleotide ribosomal RNA is filed under the name Chinchilla lanigera (long-tailed chinchilla). The record is from RNAcentral. Lineage: Eukaryota; Metazoa; Chordata; Mammalia; Rodentia; Chinchillidae.